CAAAAAAUAAAAUCAGUAAGAGACAGAAACGAAGACAGGUCCGUUUUUUUCAUUUUCUGAGACCGGAAGUGGUCAUCAGCAAGUGUGGAGCCAAACGACAACAAGAUUCUCAGAGGGCGGAGCCAGAGAGCAGUGAUUGGUCAGACCAUAGCUAGCGUAUCUAGUCUUCUAUGCAUAUCUAUGGUCGGCACAUCUGGUAGCAUCUCUGGCUGCUGUUGACCUUGUUUUUGGAGUAAAACACGGUGGAAGCUGAAUUAGUGAGGAUGACUCCUGCUCCUGUCAUCUCUAAGCUCCUCACACAUCUUUACCUGCACAUGAGGAAAAUCACUCCUGUAGAAUGCAGUGGUUCAUCAGAACCUCUGGGGAUGUCCUGUGGAUUCUGUGGAUCCUGUGGGUUGCAGGGUGGGUCCUACCUAGACCAGGCUGAUCCUGGACCAUCCCACAGAUGCUCCAUCAGAUCUGGAUGUGGGGAGUGUGGAACCCAGAUGUUCAGAGGGAGAUGAUGCCACAUCUGGUCCAGCCGAUGGAAGGUCUUGAAGUUCUCUGACUGGCCUGGACUGAAGAUGGUCGUCUCACUGGAUUUAAGGAUUACCACAGACCUGACCGUGAACACCGUUGACACCCACCUGAGGGAGACGCUGCCUAAGAUCUCAAGGCUGCUUGGUCGUGGUCUUUCUGGUCCUGCUCCAGAACGCCUUCAUCAACUACAUCUUCUUUUGAAGAGGCCCUCAGAUGCUGCAAUCUCUGACCUUAAGGAGGAACUGCUACUUUCACUCUGUAACGAGACAGCGGUUAUUUUAAAGACCCAGCUCCUGGCGGCUUUGAGUCAAAGUUUAACACCCAUCAAAACGGAACUACAGACAGUUAAAUCUGAGCUGUCGGUCAGUAUUUCAAACAUCAAGUCCGACCCGGCUGCCCUAAAGCACGCUGUGAGUGAAACGGAAACUUCACUCUCCACAUCACCGACGACAUCGUCACACUCCAAAGCAGAGCACCUGUCUGCUGAACUUUUAAAAGUGGACAAUAAAUGUGAAGAAUGUGAGCAGUAGCAGACUGUGAGCAGCGGAACAGAUGUGAUC
Amphiprion ocellaris (clown anemonefish) is the source of this 1079-nucleotide long non-coding RNA. The record is from Ensembl. NCBI's taxonomy places the organism in Eukaryota, Metazoa, Chordata, Actinopteri, Pomacentridae.